GAUGAACGCUGGCGGCGUGCCUAAUACAUGCAAGUCGAGCGAACGGACGAGAAGCUUGCUUUUCUGAUGUUAGCGGCGGACGGGUGAGUAACACGUGGAUAACCUACCUAUAAGACUGGGAUAACUUCGGGAAACCGGAGCUAAUACCGGAUAAUAUUUUGAACCGCAUGGUUCAAAAGUGAAAGACGGUCUUGCUGUCACUUAUAGAUGGAUCCGCGCUGCAUUAGCUAGUUGGUAAGGUAACGGCUUACCAAGGCAACGAUGCAUAGCCGACCUGAGAGGGGUAACGGCCACACUGGAACUGAGACACGGUCCAGACUCCUACGGGAGGCAGCAGUAGGGAAUCUUCCGCAAUGGGCGAAAGCCUGACGGAGCAACGCCGCGUGAGUGAUGAAGGUCUUCGGAUCGUAAAACUCUGUUAUUAGGGAAGAACAUAUGUGUAAGUAACUGUGCACAUCUUGACGGUACCUAAUCAGAAAGCCACGGCUAACUACGU
This 496-nucleotide ribosomal RNA is filed under the name uncultured bacterium. RNAcentral's name for it is "partial 16S ribosomal RNA". It matches the Rfam family "Bacterial small subunit ribosomal RNA", at positions 28 to 506 of the family's 1533-position model. The record is from RNAcentral.